CAAUAGCGUAUAUUAAAGUUGUUGCGGUUAAAAAGCUCGUAGUUGGAUUUCUGCUGAGGACGACCGGUCCGCCCUCUGGGUGAGUAUCUGGCUCGGCCUGGGCAUCUUCUUGGAGAACGUAGCUGCACUUGAUUGUGUGGUGCGGUAUCCAGGACUUUUACUUUGAGGAAAUUAGAGUGUUUCAAGCAGGCACACGCCUUGAAUACAUUAGCAUGGAAUAAUAAGAUAGGACCUUGGUUCUAUUUUGUUGGUUUCUAGAAUUGAGGUAAUGAUUAAUAGGGAUAGUUGGGGGCAUUCGUAUUUAACUGUCAGAGGUGAAAUUCUUGGAUUUGUUAAAGACGGAUUACUGCGAAAGCAUUUGCCAAGGAUGUUUUCAUUGA
This 380-nucleotide ribosomal RNA is filed under the name uncultured eukaryote. Its description in RNAcentral is "partial 18S ribosomal RNA". It matches the Rfam family "Eukaryotic small subunit ribosomal RNA", at positions 592 to 976 of the family's 1831-position model. The record is from RNAcentral.